CAGCCGCCGCGGUAAUACGAAGGGGGCUAGCGUUGCUCGGAAUGACUGGGCGUAAAGGGCGCGUAGGCGGAUGAUACAGUCAGAUGUGAAAGCCCAGGGCUCAACCUUGGAAUUGCCUUUGAUACUGGCAGUCUUGAGUACGGAAGAGGUAUGUGGAACUCCGAGUGUAGAGGUGAAAUUCGUAGAUAUUCGGAAGAACACCAGUGGCGAAGGCGACAUACUGGUCCGUUACUGACGCUGAGGCUUGAAAGCGUGGGGAGCAAACGGGAUUAGAUACCCCUGUAGUCCCUGUCUCUUAUAC
This 301-nucleotide ribosomal RNA is filed under the name uncultured bacterium. RNAcentral's name for it is "partial 16S ribosomal RNA". It matches the Rfam family "Bacterial small subunit ribosomal RNA", at positions 509 to 807 of the family's 1533-position model. The record is from RNAcentral.